RNAcentral lists this long non-coding RNA (1549 nucleotides) under Canis lupus familiaris (dog). Its description in RNAcentral is "lncRNA (ENSCAFG00030019994.1)". The record is from RNAcentral. Lineage: Eukaryota; Metazoa; Chordata; Mammalia; Carnivora; Canidae.
AAGAACUGCUGAGCAUAGGAAUCAAAGAACAAUGGUUAAGAAUGUUGGCCUCAGAGUCAGACUCUCCAGAGUUAAAUCCAGGCUCUGUCACUUGGGAAGAUGUUUAGACAUUUUAAGCCUCGGUUUCUCUUCUGCAGAAUGGGAAUGAUAAUACUGAUAACUGCAACUAAUAAUAAUAAUAUACGUCACGGUGUUACAAAUAGCAAAGGAAUGCUGUACGUAAAAAGUUAGUAACAUUUGUACACAGAGCAGUCCCUUGGUGUCGAGGUGGGCACUGUUGAUGCCUUUGUGCUCCACUGAACGUCCCAGAAGCUCUCAAGAGCCAAGGAGGUGUGCUUGGAGGCAUUGGGGGCUGGGAUCCAAGCUCCACUCAGAAAUCCCUUCAACCAGAAUAGCACCUCGGCUUGCUUAAAAUUCUUAUUUCCUUUUAAUUUGUCUACCAUCUAGAGAAACCACUGCUCAUCUGCCAGCCUCACAGCCAGAGCCACUUCAGCUACCAUCCCAGAAAAGUCCACCUAUCAGGAUUCUGGGCAUUUUCCUCAGAGACCCCUGGGCUUCCUUUCUAAAUAAAUGGUUCAUUCACCACAAAGAAAAAUCACAAGGAUGUGCAUGCUUGCUACAGAGGGUCCCUCUCCUGGAAUCAACAGCCCCAGCCACAUGUUCAUUGGUGCGACUACACUCAGCCACCUGUGAACACUGUUUCCAGGCCCCCAGGUUGAACGCCCUCCCUGCUUGCCUCCUCACUGAUAUACUUUGAGAUUCUAGUGACAGGCCUCUGACAAAAGACAGGAGGCAGCUUGAGGACUAGAAGCAGGGUUUGGAGAGAUUGACCCCGACUUGGCUUUGGGAAAAUGAGUCCUAUGUCUGAUUGACAAAGAAUGUGAUUUGGGAAAUAACUCCGUACUCCUUCCCACCACUGGGCCUAAAUCAGGCUUGGCUUGGCAAGACAGGGACAUGGACAGGGAGCCUUCAGAUGGGAGGGAAGGGAUGGGAGGGGAGGGAGCCGAGCCAGAGGGCUGUGUGAUCUCUGGGAUGAGGUACAGUCAGAGGCAAUAAGGCAAGGGGGCGCCCAUGCUCAGUAGGUUAAGCAUCUCCCUUUGGCUCAGGUCAUGACCCCACGGUCCUGGGAUCGAGCCUCAGGUCAGGCUCCCUGCUCAGCAGGGGUGUGCUUCUCCCUCUCCCUCUGCUCCUCCCCCCUGCUCCUGUGUUCUCUCUCUCUCUCUCUCUUGCUCUGCUCUCUCUCAAAGAAAUAAAUAAAAUCUAAAAAAAUAAAUAAAUAAACCAAGGCAGAACAUGAGUCCUGAAAGCCAACUACCUGUUUUGUCUUCCUCAAGGCCUCUGCCACAUUUGAGCCUCUGGACCCCAAGCCCGGCCUGACCAACCUUGGCUUCACCCUCAGAGCUCACUGUGAACACUGGUUAGCCUAUCUGUAUCCACCGGCCCCCAUCAUAAACACCACCACCACCAGUCUCCAUACUUGGUCUUAGAGUCAUGCUUACCUGGGCUGAGCUUACGGGCAAGAGUUCUGGUUCUGAGCCCUGCUGACAGC